UAUUGGACAAUGGGGGGAAACCUGAUCCAGCGACGCCGCGUGAGUGAAGAAGUAUUUCGGUAUGUAAAGCUCUAUCAGCAGGGAAGAAAGAAAUGACGGUACCUGACUAAGAAGCCCCGGCUAACUACGUGCCAGCAGCCGCGGUAAGUCGUAGGGGGCAAGCGUUAUCCGGAUUUACUGGGUGUAAAGGGAGCGUACACGGCGAUGCAAGUCUGAAGUGAAAGGCGGGGGCCCAACCCCCUGACUGCUUUGGAAACUGUAUGGCUGGAGUGCAGGAGAGGUAAGUGGAAUUCCUAGUGUAGCGGUGAAAUGCGUAGAUAUUAGGAGGAACACCAGUGGCGAAGGCGGCUUACUUGACUGUAACUGACGUUGAGGCUCGAAAUCGUGGGGAGCAAACAGG
RNAcentral lists this ribosomal RNA (400 nucleotides) under uncultured bacterium. RNAcentral describes it as "bacterial SSU rRNA". It matches the Rfam family "Bacterial small subunit ribosomal RNA", at positions 362 to 776 of the family's 1533-position model. The record is from RNAcentral.